This 441-nucleotide ribosomal RNA is filed under the name grassland soil clone saf1_111. RNAcentral describes it as "bacterial SSU rRNA". It matches the Rfam family "Bacterial small subunit ribosomal RNA", at positions 50 to 492 of the family's 1533-position model. The record is from RNAcentral.
AACACAUGCAAGUCGAGUGCGCGCCUGUAGGCAAUACAGGUGGCGCACGGCGCACGGGUGCGUAACACGUGGGUAAUCUGCCCUUCGAUGGGGAAUAACUCCGGGAAACCGAAGCUAAUUCCGCAUAACAUUCCUUGAACUUCGGUUUGGGGACUCAAAGCCGUAAGGCGUCGGAGGAGGAACCCGCGCACGAUUAGCUAGUUGGUAGGGUAACGGCCUACCAAGGCUUUGAUCGUUAGCUGGUCUGAGAGGAUGGCCAGCCACACUGGAACUGAGACACGGUCCAGACUCCUACGGGAGGCAGCAGUGGGGAAUCUUGCACAAUGGGCGAAAGCCUGAUGCAGCGACGCCGCGUGGGGGAUGAAGCUUUUCGGAGUGUAAACCCCUUUCGACCCGGNNGAAUGCCCCGCAAGGGGACUGACGGUACGGGUAUAAGAAGCC